GAUGAACGCUAGCUACAGGCUUAACACAUGCAAGUCGAGGGGCAGCAUGAACUUAGCUUGCUAAGUUUGAUGGCGACCGGCGCACGGGUGAGUAACACGUAUCCAACCUGCCGAUGACUCGGGGAUAGCCUUUCGAAAGAAAGAUUAAUACCCGAUGGCAUAGUUCUUCCGCAUGGUAGAACUAUUAAAGAAUUUCGGUCAUCGAUGGGGAUGCGUUCCAUUAGGUUGUUGGCGGGGUAACGGCCCACCAAGCCUUCGAUGGAUAGGGGUUCUGAGAGGAAGGUCCCCCACAUUGGAACUGAGACACGGUCCAAACUCCUACGGGAGGCAGCAGUGAGGAAUAUUGGUCAAUGGACGAGAGUCUGAACCAGCCAAGUAGCGUGAAGGAUGACUGCCCUAUGGGUUGUAAACUUCUUUUAUACGGGAAUAAAGUGAGCCACGUGUGGCUUUUUGUAUGUACCGUAUGAAUAAGGAUCGGCUAACUCCGUGCCAGCAGCCGCGGUAAUACGGAGGAUCCGAGCGUUAUCCGGAUUUAUUGGGUUUAAAGGGAGCGUAGGCGGGUUGUUAAGUCAGUUGUGAAAGUUUGCGGCUCAACCGUAAAAUUGCAGUUGAUACUGGCGACCUUGAGUGCAACAGAGGUAGGCGGAAUUCGUGGUGUAGCGGUGAAAUGCUUAGAUAUCACGAAGAACUCCGAUUGCGAAGGCAGCUUACUGGA
Molecule: ribosomal RNA, 715 nt
Filed under: uncultured Bacteroidales bacterium
Lineage: Bacteria; Pseudomonadati; Bacteroidota; Bacteroidia; Bacteroidales
Description: bacterial SSU rRNA
Rfam family: Bacterial small subunit ribosomal RNA
Source: RNAcentral